CUGAAUUAUUUAAAGAGCCGCGGUAAUUUGACCGUGCAAAGGUAGCAUAAUCUUAGUUUUUUAAUUGAAGACUGGAAUGAAAGGUUAAUAAAAAAUAAGCUUUAUUAUUUUAAUAAUAAAUGAAUUUGUUUUUUAGUAAAAAAACUAAAAUAUUGAUAAAAGACGAUAAGACCCUAUAAAGCUUUAUAAUAAUUUUUAUAUAAUUUUUUUAGAAUAUUAAAAAUUUUAUAUCUUUAUUAUUUAAUUGGGGUGAUUUAAAGAUUUAAUUAACUCUUUAUUAUAAAAAUUUAAUAUAGUUAAAUUAAAGAUCCUGAUAUUUGGAUUUAAAAAUUAAGUUCUUUAGGGAUAACAGCUAAUUUUUU
This 362-nucleotide ribosomal RNA is filed under the name Chironomidae sp. MG-2011. Its description in RNAcentral is "partial 16S ribosomal RNA". The record is from RNAcentral. Lineage: Eukaryota; Metazoa; Arthropoda; Insecta; Diptera; Chironomidae.